GCUACUCAUAAAAGAAUUUAAGUUCAACUUUAGGUUUUUAUAAGACUUCUUAAACUUUUCCUUCUCAACCUAAAGAAAUUCAAUAGGGGUACAGCCCUAUUGAACCGGGAUACAACCCGAACCGAGAGACUUCCUUAUUUUCCCUUUUAGUAGGCCUCAAAGCAGCCACCAAAAACUGCGUUACAGCACAAACAAAAUAAUUUCAACAACCCAUACAUCCUCCCGAUAUAGUCUGAGUUAUUCUAUACCAAAAUAGAAGCACCAAUGCUAAAAUUAGUAAUAAGAAAUAAUUAUUUCUCUUUGCACCCUCUUGAAUCAGAACAGAAAAACUACUGAUACUUAACAAAAACCAACCCCCUUCUCAUACCAGCUAAAAUGUUGACUCAACAUUGUCACCCCAACACAGGUGUGCAAAAAAGAAAGGUAAAAAGCCGUAAAAGGAACUCGGCAAUAUAUUGUCCCAACUGUUUACCAAAAACAUAGCCUUUAGCUUUACAAGUAUUAAAGGUUCCGCCUGCCCAGUGACUCUUUAAACGGCCGCGGUAUCCUA
RNAcentral lists this ribosomal RNA (550 nucleotides) under Lacerta agilis (Sand lizard). RNAcentral's name for it is "partial 16S ribosomal RNA". The record is from RNAcentral. Lineage: Eukaryota; Metazoa; Chordata; Lepidosauria; Squamata; Lacertidae.